RNAcentral lists this long non-coding RNA (461 nucleotides) under Nicotiana benthamiana. Its description in RNAcentral is "long non-coding RNA (NBEN_LNC038860)". The record is from RNAcentral. Lineage: Eukaryota; Viridiplantae; Streptophyta; Magnoliopsida; Solanales; Solanaceae.
CUUUUCUAACUAACACAAAUAAAUCUUGCAUUGAAACCAGUCAAAUAAACGGAGGAACACAGUAUAAACAAUUCAAGUAAAGUAUAUUUUUCAACAAUUAGCACAAGUACACGCUUGUCACCUCACAUACAAGGCAUUUAAAUCAGUAGAUAAGAAGUCCUAAGGGGAGAGGUCCCCCACACAAGGUUAAACAAGCCACUAACCUCAAACCGGUGCAAAAUCAAUAAGGAACGAUGCCCUUACCACGAGUAUCUGACUCCGAGUGGCCCAAAUCUAUUCAAACCAAUUACAUAUUGUAAAUAACAUCGAAAGUAACCAAUUCCACUAUUAAAAUUAAAGCUAAGGCGCGAAAAUAGGUAAAAUAACCAAAAUGCCCCUCAAUCCAACAUCUCGGAACCAAAUAAUUUUUAUAUUUUCUGAAACCUCGUACUUUCACGAGUCUAACCAUAUACAAAUCUCAG